RNAcentral lists this ribosomal RNA (497 nucleotides) under uncultured bacterium. RNAcentral's name for it is "partial 16S ribosomal RNA". It matches the Rfam family "Bacterial small subunit ribosomal RNA", at positions 28 to 507 of the family's 1533-position model. The record is from RNAcentral.
GAUGAACGCUGGCGGCGUGCCUAAUACAUGCAAGUCGAGCGAACAGACGAGGAGCUUGCUCCUCUGACGUUAGCGGCGGACGGGUGAGUAACACGUGGAUAACCUACCUAUAAGACUGGGAUAACUUCGGGAAACCGGAGCUAAUACCGGAUAAUAUAUUGAACUGCAUGGUUCAAUAGUGAAAGACGGUUUUGCUGUCACUUAUAGAUGGAUCCGCGCCGCAUUAGCUAGUUGGUAAGGUAACGGCUUACCAAGGCAACGAUGCGUAGCCGACCUGAGAGGGUAAUCGGCCACACUGGAACUGAGACACGGUCCAGACUCCUACGGGAGGCAGCAGUAGGGAAUCUUCCGCAAUGGGCGAAAGCCUGACGGAGCAACGCCGCGUGAGUGAUGAAGGUCUUCGGAUCGUAAAACUCUGUUAUUAGGGAAGAACAAAUGUGUAAGUAACUAUGCACGUCUUGACGGUACCUAAUCAGAAAGCCACGGCUAACUACGUG